RNAcentral lists this ribosomal RNA (707 nucleotides) under Escherichia coli. RNAcentral describes it as "partial 23S ribosomal RNA". It matches the Rfam family "Bacterial large subunit ribosomal RNA", at positions 1934 to 2640 of the family's 2925-position model. The record is from RNAcentral. Lineage: Bacteria; Pseudomonadati; Pseudomonadota; Gammaproteobacteria; Enterobacterales; Enterobacteriaceae.
CCGUAACUAUAACGGUCCUAAGGUAGCGAAAUUCCUUGUCGGGUAAGUUCCGACCUGCACGAAUGGCGUAAUGAUGGCCAGGCUGUCUCCACCCGAGACUCAGUGAAAUUGAACUCGCUGUGAAGAUGCAGUGUACCCGCGGCAAGACGGAAAGACCCCGUGAACCUUUACUAUAGCUUGACACUGAACAUUGAGCCUUGAUGUGUAGGAUAGGUGGGAGGCUUUGAAGUGUGGACGCCAGUCUGCAUGGAGCCGACCUUGAAAUACCACCCUUUAAUGUUUGAUGUUCUAACGUGGACCCGUAAUCCGGGUUGCGGACAGUGUCUGGUGGGUAGUUUGACUGGGGCGGUCUCCUCCUAAAGAGUAACGGAGGAGCACGAAGGUUGGCUAAUCCUGGUCGGACAUCAGGAGGUUAGUGCAAUGGCAUAAGCCAGCUUGACUGCGAGCGUGACGGCGCGAGCAGGUGCGAAAGCAGGUCAUAGUGAUCCGGUGGUUCUGAAUGGAAGGGCCAUCGCUCAACGGAUAAAAGGUACUCCGGGGAUAACAGGCUGAUACCGCCCAAGAGUUCAUAUCGACGGCGGUGUUUGGCACCUCGAUGUCGGCUCAUCACAUCCUGGGGCUGAAGUAGGUCCCAAGGGUAUGGCUGUUCGCCAUUUAAAGUGGUACGCGAGCUGGGUUUAGAACGUCGUGAGACAGUUCGGUCCCUA